Molecule: ribosomal RNA, 757 nt
Filed under: Lichenostigmatales sp.
Lineage: Eukaryota; Fungi; Ascomycota; Arthoniomycetes; Lichenostigmatales
Description: SSU rRNA
Rfam family: Eukaryotic small subunit ribosomal RNA
Source: RNAcentral
GAUUAAGCCAUGCAUGUCUAAGUAUAAGCAAUCUAUACUGUGAAACUGCGAAUGGCUCAUUAAAUCAGUUAUCGUUUAUUUGAUAGUACCUUACUACUUGGAUAACCGUGGUAAUUCUAGAGCUAAUACAUGCUAAAAACCUCGACUUCGGAAGGGGUGUAUUUAUUAGAUAAAAAACCAAUGCCCUUCGGGGCUCCUUGGUGAUUCAUAAUAACUUAACGAAUCGCAUGGCCUUGCGCCGGCGAUGGUUCAUUCAAAUUUCUGCCCUAUCAACUUUCGAUGGUAGGAUAGUGGCCUACCAUGGUAUCAACGGGUAACGGGGAAUUAGGGUUCUAUUCCGGAGAGGGAGCCUGAGAAACGGCUACCACAUCCAAGGAAGGCAGCAGGCGCGCAAAUUACCCAAUCCCAAUACGGGGAGGUAGUGACAAUAAAUACUGAUACAGGGCUCUUUUGGGUCUUGUAAUUGGAAUGAGUACAAUUUAAAUCCCUUAACGAGGAACAAUUGGAGGGCAAGUCUGGUGCCAGCAGCCGCGGUAAUUCCAGCUCCAAUAGCGUAUAUUAAAGUUGUUGCAGUUAAAAAGCUCGUAGUUGAACCUUGGGCUCGGCUAGCCGGUCCGCCUCACCGCGUGCACUGGUCCGGCCGGGCCUUUCCUUCUGGGGAUCCUCAUGCCCUUCACUGGGUGUGCUGGGGAACCAGGACUUUUACUUUGAAAAAAUUAGAGUGUUCAAAGCAGGCAUUUGCUCGAAUACAUUAGCA